Molecule: ribosomal RNA, 1522 nt
Filed under: metagenome
Description: bacterial SSU rRNA
Rfam family: Bacterial small subunit ribosomal RNA
Source: RNAcentral
AGAGUUUGAUCAUGGCUCAGAUUGAACGCUGGCGGCAGGCCUAACACAUGCAAGUCGAACGGUAACAGGAAGCAGCUUGCUGCUUCGCUGACGAGUGGCGGACGGGUGAGUAAUGUCUGGGAAGCUGCCUGAUGGAGGGGGAUAACUACUGGAAACGGUAGCUAAUACCGCAUAAUGUCGCAAGACCAAAGAGGGGGACCUUCGGGCCUCUUGCCAUCGGAUGUGCCCAGAUGGGAUUAGCUUGUUGGUGGGGUAACGGCUCACCAAGGCGACGAUCCCUAGCUGGUCUGAGAGGAUGACCAGCCACACUGGAACUGAGACACGGUCCAGACUCCUACGGGAGGCAGCAGUGGGGAAUAUUGCACAAUGGGCGCAAGCCUGAUGCAGCCAUGCCGCGUGUAUGAAGAAGGCCUUCGGGUUGUAAAGUACUUUCAGCGGGGAGGAAGGGAGUAAAGUUAAUACCUUUGCUCAUUGACGUUACCCGCAGAAGAAGCACCGGCUAACUCCGUGCCAGCAGCCGCGGUAAUACGGAGGGUGCAAGCGUUAAUCGGAAUUACUGGGCGUAAAGCGCACGCAGGCGGUUUGUUAAGUCAGAUGUGAAAUCCCCGGGCUCAACCUGGGAACUGCAUCUGAUACUGGCAAGCUUGAGUCUCGUAGAGGGGGGUAGAAUUCCAGGUGUAGCGGUGAAAUGCGUAGAGAUCUGGAGGAAUACCGGUGGCGAAGGCGGCCCCCUGGACGAAGACUGACGCUCAGGUGCGAAAGCGUGGGGAGCAAACAGGAUUAGAUACCCUGGUAGUCCACGCCGUAAACGAUGUCGACUUGGAGGUUGUGCCCUUGAGGCGUGGCUUCCGGAGCUAACGCGUUAAGUCGACCGCCUGGGGAGUACGGCCGCAAGGUUAAAACUCAAAUGAAUUGACGGUGGCCCGCACAAGCGGUGGAGCAUGUGGUUUAAUUCGAUGCAACGCGAAGAACCUUACCUGGUCUUGACAUCCACGGAAGUUUUCAGAGAUGAGAAUGUGCCUUCGGGAACCGUGAGACAGGUGCUGCAUGGCUGUCGUCAGCUCGUGUUGUGAAAUGUUGGGUUAAGUCCCGCAACGAGCGCAACCCUUAUCCUUUGUUGCCAGCGGUCCGGCCGGGAACUCAAAGGAGACUGCCAGUGAUAAACUGGAGGAAGGUGGGGAUGACGUCAAGUCAUCAUGGCCCUUACGACCAGGGCUACACACGUGCUACAAUGGCGCAUACAAAGAGAAGCGACCUCGCGAGAGCAAGCGGACCUCAUAAAGUGCGUCGUAGUCCGGAUUGGAGUCUGCAACUCGACUCCAUGAAGUCGGAAUCGCUAGUAAUCGUGGAUCAGAAUGCCACGGUGAAUACGUUCCCGGGCCUUGUACACACCGCCCGUCACACCAUGGGAGUGGGUUGCAAAAGAAGUAGGUAGCUUAACCUUCGGGAGGGCGCUUACCACUUUGUGAUUCAUGACUGGGGUGAAGUCGGAACAAGGUAACCGUAGGGGAACCUGCGGUUG